This is a ribosomal RNA of 377 nucleotides. It matches the Rfam family "Eukaryotic small subunit ribosomal RNA", at positions 582 to 975 of the family's 1831-position model.
AUUCCAGCUCUGAUAGUAUAUAUUAAGGUUGUUGCAGUUAAAAAGCUCGUAGUUGAAACUUGGGUGUGUAGGGGCGGUCUCUUUUAGAGUACUACCCUGAAACAUCUUUCUUUGGUGUAAACUCUUUAUUCACUUAAGGAGUGUAAACCAAACAUUUACUUUGAAAAAAUUAGAGUGUUCAAAGCAGGCCUUUGCUCGAAUAUAUUAGCAUGGAAUAAUAGAAUAGGACGUAUGGUUCUAUUUUGUUGGUUUCUAGGACCGUCGUAAUGAUCAAUAGGGACGGUCGGGGGCAUCAGUAUUCAGUUGUCAGAGGUGAAAUUCUUGGAUUUACUGAAGACUAACUACUGCGAAAGCAUUUGCCAAGGACGUUUUCAUUG